RNAcentral lists this ribosomal RNA (880 nucleotides) under Sphingobacterium multivorum. RNAcentral's name for it is "bacterial SSU rRNA". It matches the Rfam family "Bacterial small subunit ribosomal RNA", at positions 74 to 952 of the family's 1533-position model. Lineage: Bacteria; Pseudomonadati; Bacteroidota; Sphingobacteriia; Sphingobacteriales; Sphingobacteriaceae. The record is from RNAcentral.
GAGAGCUUGCUCGAAGAUGGUGAGAGUGGCGCACGGGUGCGUAACGCGUGAGCAACCUACCUCUAUCAGGGGGAUAGCCUCUCGAAAGAGAGAUUAACACCGCAUAACAUCAACAGUUCGCAUGUUCGGUUGAUUAAAUAUUUAUAGGAUAGAGAUGGGCUCGCGUGACAUUAGCUAGUUGGUAGGGUAACGGCCUACCAAGGCGACGAUGUCUAGGGGCUCUGAGAGGAGAAUCCCCCACACUGGUACUGAGACACGGACCAGACUCCUACGGGAGGCAGCAGUAAGGAAUAUUGGUCAAUGGGCGGAAGCCUGAACCAGCCAUGCCGCGUGCAGGAUGACUGCCCUAUGGGUUGUAAACUGCUUUUGUCCAGGAAUAAACCUAAAUACGUGUAUUUAGCUGAAUGUACUGGAAGAAUAAGGAUCGGCUAACUCCGUGCCAGCAGCCGCGGUAAUACGGAGGAUCCGAGCGUUAUCCGGAUUUAUUGGGUUUAAAGGGUGCGUAGGCGGCCUAUUAAGUCAGGGGUGAAAUACGGUGGCUCAACCAUCGCAGUGCCUUUGAUACUGAUGGGCUUGAAUCCAUUUGAAGUGGGCGGAAUAAGACAAGUAGCGGUGAAAUGCAUAGAUAUGUCUUAGAACUCCGAUUGCGAAGGCAGCUCACUAAGCUGGUAUUGACGCUGAUGCACGAAAGCGUGGGGAUCGAACAGGAUUAGAUACCCUGGUAGUCCACGCCCUAAACGAUGAUAACUCGAUGUUGGCGAUAGACAGCCAGCGUCCCAGCGAAAGCGUUAAGUUAUCCACCUGGGGAGUACGCCCGCAAGGGUGAAACUCAAAGGAAUUGACGGGGGCCCGCACAAGCGGAGGAGCAUGUGGUUAAUUC